RNAcentral lists this unclassified non-coding RNA (378 nucleotides) under uncultured Actinomycetes bacterium. Its description in RNAcentral is "uncultured actinobacterium contains 16S-23S intergenic spacer region". Lineage: Bacteria; Bacillati; Actinomycetota; Actinomycetes. The record is from RNAcentral.
UCCGAGUUGACCCCGGCAGUCUCCUAUGAGUCCCCACCAUGACCCGCUGGCAACAUGGGACAGGGGUUGCGCUCGUUGCGCCACUUAAGGCAACACCUCACGGCACGAGCUGACGACAGCCAUGCAGCACCUGUGCCGGCUCCCGAAGGAGCACCGUGUUUCCACGGUUUCACCCGGCAUGUCAAGCCCUGGUAAGGUUCUUCGCGUUGCGUCGAAUUGAGCCACAUGCUCCGCCGCUUGUGCGGGUCCCCGUCAAUUCCUUUGAGUUUUAGCCUUGCGGCCGUACUCCCCAGGCGGGGUGCUUAAUGCGUUAGCUGCGGCACGGAUCGCGUCGAUAGCGACCCACACCUAGCACCCAUCGUUUACGGCGUGGACUAC